This 274-nucleotide ribosomal RNA is filed under the name uncultured bacterium. RNAcentral describes it as "partial 16S ribosomal RNA". It matches the Rfam family "Bacterial small subunit ribosomal RNA", at positions 523 to 796 of the family's 1533-position model. The record is from RNAcentral.
AGACGGAGGGCGCAAGCGUUGUCCGGAUUUAUUGGGUUUAAAGGGUGCGUAGGCGGCCCGUUAAGUCAGUGGUGAAAGGUAUCAGCUUAACUGAUGAAGUGCCAUUGAAACUGAAGGGCUUGAGUACAGACGAGGUAGGCGGAAUUUAUGGUGUAGCGGUGAAAUGCAUAGAUACCAUAAAGAACACCGAUAGCGAAGGCAGCUUACUAGACUGAGACUGACGCUGAGGCACGAAAGCGUGGGGAGCAAACAGGAUUAGAAACCCCAGUAGUCC